CCUACGGUGGGCAGCAGUGAGGAAUAUUUGUCAAUGGGCGCGAGCCUGAACCAGCCAAGUAGCGUGAGGGAUGACUGCCCUACGGGUUGUAAACUUCUUUUAUAAGGGAAUAAAGUGAGUCACGUGUGCAUUUUUGAAUGUACUUUAUGAAUAAGGAACGGCUAACUCCGUGCCAUCAGCCGCGGUAAUACGUGGGAUCCGCUCGUUAUCCGGAUUUAUUGGGUUUAAAGGGAGCGUAGAUGGGUUGUUAAGUCAGUUGUGAAAGUCUGCGGCUCAACCGUAAAAUUGCAAUUGAUACUGGCAGCCUUGAGUACAGUUGAGGUAGGCGGAAUUCGUGGUGUAGCGGUGAAAUGCUUAGAUAUCACGAAGAACUCCGAUUGCGAAGGCAGCCUACUAAACUGCCACUGACAUUGAUGCUCGAAAGUGUGGGUAGCAAACAGGAUUAGAUACCCUGGUAGUC
This 460-nucleotide ribosomal RNA is filed under the name uncultured bacterium. Its description in RNAcentral is "partial 16S ribosomal RNA". It matches the Rfam family "Bacterial small subunit ribosomal RNA", at positions 338 to 795 of the family's 1533-position model. The record is from RNAcentral.